AAGACUAUACUUUCAGGGAUCAUUUCUAUAGUUCAUUAAGGUAAGAAACAUGAGAAGGUUGACACAUAUGACUUGGAAUUAAAGAGAAAAUGGGGUGUUGUCCAAGAUACCUCUUCUGA
This 119-nucleotide small nucleolar RNA is filed under the name Pongo abelii (Sumatran orangutan). RNAcentral's name for it is "Small nucleolar RNA U3". It matches the Rfam family "Small nucleolar RNA U3". From Rfam's summary of the family: Small nucleolar RNAs (snoRNAs) are involved in the processing and modification of rRNA in the nucleolus. There are two main classes of snoRNAs: the box C/D class, and the box H/ACA class. The record is from Rfam by way of RNAcentral. Lineage: Eukaryota; Metazoa; Chordata; Mammalia; Primates; Hominidae.